CGCGUAUAUAUUAGAGCGUAUAAGCGACCUGCAGUGUCACUGAGAAGUCGCUCAAUGAGGCGCUCUCCUCCUUCCCUCCAAUUCCUCGCCGCUGCAGCAUCCACCGACGCCACCAUGUAUUCUCGCGUUCCUUACAGAGGUGGUCGAAAUCAAAGGCGGAGAGGAUUCUCCGACCGACCUUUCGGAGAUGGCAGAGACCAGUUCGUUACCGGAGAUUCUCACUUCCAGUCGGUAAGAGACGCCAACCAAGGUUUCCGGCCAGUAGAGAGAGAAAACUUCGCAAAUCACAGGUCGCAUCAGCCUUCAUUCAAUCCUCCGCCUCGUUUCAAUCCUCCUCCGCAAUUUAAUUAUCGGCCUCCUUUGCAUCAUCCACCGCCUUUCAAUCCGAAUCAACAUUUUCGUCCGCCGUUGGGUCCACCACUGCCUUUCAAUCAGAAUCAACAUUUCCGUCCGCCGUUGGCUCCACCAUCACCUUUCGGUCAGAAUCAACCGUUCCGUCCUCCGCAACAGUUUCGUCCAAGGCCUUCGAAGCCGUUGGAUUACCGGAAUUGGGAGUUUGCAAGAGCAGGGCCGCCCCCUCAGUGUGAGCGGUUUACAGUCCUCUCUUACAAUAUACUGGCUGACUAUCUGGCUAUUAAUCAUCGGCGCAAACUUUACUUUCACAUACCUCACCAUAUUUUGGACUGGGAGUGGCGAAAGAGAAGUAUUAUCUUUGAGCUUGGGUUAUGGUCAGCUGAUAUAUUGUGCUUUCAGGAGGUUGAUAGAUUUCAGGAGUUAGAGGAUGAGUUGAAACAUCGGGGAUACAACGGCAUUUGGAAGAUGCGAACUGGUGAUCCAGUUGAUGGUUGUGCAAUAUUUUGGCGUGUGUCAAGAUUCAAGAUGGUGUACGAGGAAUGCAUUGAAUUUAAGAAGCUUGGACUACGGGAUAAUGUUGCCCAGAUUUGCGUUUUGGAGUCUGUGAAUCAGAAUCCCAGCAUAUAUACGUCAGCUCUCCCAACAAGCUCAACGGGUUCUAAUAAAGUUGUCUUAUGUAACAUUCACGUGCUUUACAACCCUAGAAGGGGAGAGAUUAAGCUUGGCCAGAUUCGAGUGCUUAUGGAGAGGGCUCAUGCUGUUUCUAAGCUUUGGGAUGAUGCUCCUGUUGUUCUUUGUGGGGAUUUUAACUGUACUCCAAAGAGUCAGUUAUACAACUAUAUAGCAGAGCAGAAGUUAAAUCUUUCUGAGCUACCAAGAGAUAAGGUGUCCGGACAAGCUGCUUUUGAAAUUCGUGCACCGGGGCAGUUUGGUCCUUAUUUCGGGCCCCAAUCCGUUCAUAAUUCAGUUCAAGCUCCAACAAUUGCUGAUGACAGGAAAGUCAGGCAGACUGAUUCCCUCUCAGAUGUGCAGAAGCAGAAUGGUUCAGGUCAAUAUGGAGAUGAGAACAGUGCACUGUCCCAUGAACUGACAAAAGAAACCCAUCAGGAUGCCGUGAACGAUUGCAAGAAAGAAACUGAAUUGACCACCUGUGUUUCAGAUAGUUGCUUAAAGGAAGGCCCAAGUAGUUCUCACAACGAAGGUGGUUUUGCUGUUGAUGAAAUGAAGGAUAGAACUUGUGAAUUGACUAAUAAAGAUUCUUGUCGUGAAGAUAUUUAUUCUAAUGUGAUUGAGACUGGACAUGAUGAAAAAGUACAUGCAAACUAUACAAAAUCCGAUUCAUUCAGUGAACACUCUCAUUCAAAUUUAUAUACAGAAAAUGGAAGUGUUACGUGCGAUAAUGUUAACCUCUCCUUUGUGGGUGAAAAUCAUUCUACGACUUCCAUAAUUAAUCCUGAGCCUGCAAAUGCUUCUGAUUUAGCAACUGCUUCAUCUGAGCUAUUCCAAGAGACUUCAUUUCCCAAUGCUGUAGAAGUCUCUCCUCUUGGAAGCUCAGAAAAUUUGUCAUCUCUUUCAGUUGCCAAUUACAAGGGUAGCCCUUCUGGCUUAUGCGAAGGCUAUGAAUCUACAAGCAAUGACUUUGUGGCGAAUGAAAAGAAGAAGAAUUUAACCCAUGAUGAGCUAGAUGAAGUUAAGCAGGAAGAUGAGAGCAUAGGUGAAGAUUGUACCACAUUCUUAUCUGCGCUACACAACGCUGAUGGCAGUCCCUUUCCGUCUGACUUAAAUCAAUUUGUAGGAUCUGACUUUGUGGAAUCAAAUGAGUCAUCGGGGGGAAAUGUUGCUAUACCCCAAAGCCAACAUUUGCAUCCUCUUGGUGAUGAGGAUUCUCCUAGCAUGGAUAAUGUGUCUGUUGAUGCAUUUAGAACUGCUUAUGAUCCAUCAGCAUGGACUCCAAUGGAGAUAGAAACUGCAACAGGUAAUGCAGACUGUACACUUAUGGAACAUCCUCUGAAGCUGAGAAGCACGUAUGCAGAAGUUGAGGACUGUUCAGGGACUAGAGAUCCAAUUGGAGAACCCCUGGUGACCAGUUACAAUAGGUGUUUCCAAGGCACAGUUGAUUACAUAUGGCGCUCCGAAGGACUUCAAACUGUCAGGGUUCUUGCUCCUAUUCCUAAACAUGCAAUGCAGUGGACUACAGGAUUCCCCACAAAGAAAUGGGGGAGCGAUCAUAUUGCGUUGGUUUCUGAGUUGGCAUUUACAAAAGACAUGGUUAAUCAAAAUACAGAAGCUCAGUAGUAGCUGACAAGUCUUGCAACACUAGGCUUGCAUCAAAACCGAACUUAUACCAUCAAGUUUUAGAUUGUUUAUGUGGGGAUGCCCUAGAGAAACCGGUAUAAGGCCUUUGUUGCUAGCCAGGAAGUCAGUAUUGCUAGUGUUUGGCUUGGUAUAAGGCUGGCAAUUUGUGGGAUCUAGAGAAAGAAUAGCAAAGGACAUAGCAACAGAGAACAAUGGUCUUUAAUCCAAAAAAAAAAAAUGGUCUUUAAUCCAAAAAAAAACAGCAGAUAACAAUGGUGUUGAGGGCAUGACUGGGCCCACAACUGCUGCAACAGCUCUUUUUUUUUUUUUUUUUUUCUUUUGGUUUUUUUCUUUACUAUUUCCUUUUAUAUGUAAUUUAUUUUUAUUGUAAAAUAAAUAUUUAUGAAUAAAUAGGUGUAUUAAAAAUUCUUUCGGUUGA
Molecule: RNA transcript, 3088 nt
Organism: Cornus florida
Lineage: Eukaryota; Viridiplantae; Streptophyta; Magnoliopsida; Cornales; Cornaceae
Gene name: carbon catabolite repressor protein 4 homolog 6
Exons: 17
Source: RefSeq, a predicted model, not a curated record